Molecule: long non-coding RNA, 1355 nt
Filed under: Chrysemys picta bellii (western painted turtle)
Lineage: Eukaryota; Metazoa; Chordata; Testudines; Emydidae
Description: lncRNA (ENSCPBG00000010235.1)
Source: RNAcentral
CAUUGUCAGAGACUGGAUGCUGGACUAACUAUAGAAUAGAGCAGUUUUCAUCGGUUAGUGUUUCUGGGGCUACCGGAUAGUGUCCCAAAGAAGUUAUCAUGCAAUUUAUUUUCUUCUCCAUUCCCUGUUUUUCUUCUGGUGUUUUAGUUGUAUUGUCAUUAUCAGCAAAAGAACCAUCUAGGUCAGGAAUAUGGAUUUAUGGGCCUAACUGGUGGGGAGAAAAUCCUGAAAUAAUUGCAUUGCAAUGCUUGUUAGAAGCUGCAUUACAUUGAAUAAUAUUCUUCCUCCUACAUAAAUUUAUAGGAUUUUUAACUCUUCCCUAUUUAUAGGUGGGUUUCUGAAAUCUAUUUUAUUAGGGGAAAAAGAUUUGAGUGUGUUAGGCAAAGUGCCAGUAGCCAUGGCAACCUAGAAUUUUUCCAUCUUCAUUACAAGCUCAAGUAAAACCUUCAUAUAAAAUCUAAAUGAAAGGGUACAUUAUAAGUCAAUUUUCAAAUGUUUGCCUGGAAGUAAAAAUUUGGACUGCAUCCUUUUUUUCUGCAGAACAUUCUGGUUCUACGCAGAACACAUUUUUAAGGUUGUCAUUCAAAGAAUAUAACAGACUCCCCAGUUACUCACAGAUGAGAGAGCUGCAGAAGGGCAGACGUGUCCACAAGAUUGGGAUGUCAGCACAAGUUCAUUACCCGGCCUUAGUUGGAUAUUAUAUCUGUGAUCGUGAUGAAACAGAAGCAGACAAAAUCUCAGGGGAAUGGGAACGUCACAAGCAGCAUUUCCAGGCUGAAGCCUAAAAGAGAUGUCAUCGUAACUUCAGAACCAAACCUUCAGAGCCUGGGGCUCUCACCGGACUGAUUUUCACACUGUGGGACUCUACUGUCACAGAUUAUAUUAAGUGGAGAAAAAGGCAAAGAAUCUACUUUGACUGAGAGGAUCGCCUGAAAUAAUAAGAUGGACAAAGCCCACCUCAUCACACCCCAUCCUGGCCUCUAGACACACACACACACACACACACACACACACCACUUGCUCUCCCAAAUACCCUUUGUAACCUUAUACUUGCUCCUAAGAUCCCCAAAGAGCAGUGCAGCACACUCCCAGACUGACUGCCAUUCCAUUUUCUUCUGAAACAGUAAAACCGUUUCACUAUAACUUGGCUGAAGCAUUAACACUCUGGUUUCAGUUUCUUUUAUGAUAGCCUAGGGCAACUGCCAAUUAGGGUCCCCCUAGCCACCCCUGCCCCCUCAGUAGCAACUCCCUGAACUGUCUCAUAGUGCAACCCAGACACAUAACUCUCCUGUUCUCUGAUGAAAAAAAUAUAAAAUAAUAAUAAACACACCAUAGAAAAGAUUAUUGGAGUUAUU